Molecule: long non-coding RNA, 1068 nt
Organism: Lutra lutra (Eurasian river otter)
Lineage: Eukaryota; Metazoa; Chordata; Mammalia; Carnivora; Mustelidae
Exons: 3
Source: RefSeq, a predicted model, not a curated record
CAGGGUCAGGGCCUCAUCUGCUGCCAUCAGCUGUUGGGGAAGUAGCAGACAGAGCAGGAAGCUGGCUCACCAGGAAGAUUUCUCUCUGGGCUCAGGCCAUUCUUGCUUCCCCCCUCUUCCUUAACCUGUCCUGUCUCUCCUGGUCUGUGUAGCUGCUGGCUUUCUAGAUGAAUACCACGUGACCGCCAUUCUGGUGUCUAGCCCAGGGAAGGCAGCCUGAGGCUGGGUGUCCAGGAAGGGGGUACUUGGAGAGAGGCCUUGCCACCAGCUCCCAGGCUUCUGCAGCUAGACACCUGCCAGGAGUCCCAGGCACUCCCCCAGGCACUCCGGCCACCAAGGUGUUUGUGGUGGUGUGUUCAAGGAGAGGCGCCACAGCCUGGGCUGGGGGAAGGGGUGCGGGGGCAGAGGGUGCUUCCUUUUCCUGAUUCUCCUCCCAGGGCAAGGGGCCUGGCCAUCCUCAGUGAUGCUGUCCUCCGUCCUGCUGGCUCACCCUUCCCCUGCUGGCCUCAUGCUGGAUUGUAGAAAGAAGGUUCCCUGAAACCAGGGCUGGUGGAUGACCCCUGGGGAGGCAGAUCUGGGAUGGAGGGCUGAGAGCUGGGGAAACCGAGGCAGAGAGACUAAGUUACCAUAAUAUGUGAUGAAGCCCUACAGUCAUACGGACAUUCCCAUCUAGGAAAGGGGAGAUUAAGCGGCUCACACCUCGGGGGCUGCUGUGCCUUUGGGUCAUCAGAAGUGCCUCUGUGACUGGUGCUUGCAGUCCUGGGAGAAGGAGGGGGAGGCAGAGGGCAGUGGCCCCUAGAGCUGGUUCCACGUGAGCACUGCUGGGUGAGUCGUAGGUUUACUGCUUGUCAGAGCUGGCAGGAACCUGCUCUGGACGGAAUUGUGUGCCCCCCGAAUUCACAUGGUAAAGCCCAGACCCCCAGUGUGACUAUAUAUAGAUAUAUGACCUUUAAGGAGGUAAUUAAGGUUAAAUGAGGUCAUAAGGGUGCUUAAGGGUCCUUGUAAGUAGAGGAGGAGACACCAGAGAUCUGUCUCUGCACACACAGAAGAAAGGCCACACGGGGACAG